This 384-nucleotide ribosomal RNA is filed under the name uncultured Sphingomonadaceae bacterium. RNAcentral describes it as "bacterial SSU rRNA". It matches the Rfam family "Bacterial small subunit ribosomal RNA", at positions 822 to 1208 of the family's 1533-position model. Lineage: Bacteria; Pseudomonadati; Pseudomonadota; Alphaproteobacteria; Sphingomonadales; Sphingomonadaceae. The record is from RNAcentral.
GUCCGGGCACUUGGUGCUUGGGUGGCGCAGCUACGCAAUAAGUUAUCCGCCUGGGGAGUCGGUCGCAAGAUUAAAACUCAAAGGAAUUGACGGGGGCCUGCCAAGCGGUGGAGCAUGUGGUUUAAUUCGAAGCAACGCGCAAAACCUUACCAGCGUUUGACAUGUCCGGACGAUUUCCAGAGAUGGAUCUCUUCCCUUCGGGGACUGGAACACAGGUGCUGCAUGGCUGUCGUCAGCUCGUGUCGUGUGAUGUUGGGUUAAGUCCCGCAACGAGCGCAACCCUCGCCUUUAGUUACCAUCAUUUAGUUGGGGACUCUAAAGGAACCGCCGGUGAUAAGCCGGAGGAAGGUGGGGAUGACGUCAAGUCCUCAUGGCCCUUACACG